Non-coding RNA from Bactrocera oleae (olive fruit fly), 451 nucleotides. The record is from RefSeq and is a predicted model, not a curated record. Lineage: Eukaryota; Metazoa; Arthropoda; Insecta; Diptera; Tephritidae.
UUCAAUUAUCAAUUUAGCAGAUUGUUUAGCUUACGUUACACAAUAGAUGCCACGAAAUUGAUUCAGUCACUGUAUUUGGUUUGGUAACGCAUGAGAAGUGCCUUUGAUUUCCUAUCUCUUAAAAAAAUAUUUUUCAAACAUUUUAAUAAACACGUUGCACUUAAUCUGUCACUUUUAUUUGUUGGAGCAAAUAAUCAUGAUUGUAUUUACCGGCCAGGAUAUCGAGGAAUCGCUGAACGCGCCUCAGCCGUCUAACCGGUGGUCCAGGUUGCUUCAUAAGGGGUUCCUUUAUUGGUUUGGUAGCGUCGAUGCGCUAAGUUUUCUAAUACUGGUGUUAUUCUUUCGGAUGGUAGAUGCGAAUGCAAUAUAAUACACAUAAAAUCAAAAUUUUAUAAGUGAAAUGUGAAUAUAAUAGAAAAAAUGCUAUAUUGAUUAAAAGAAAAUAUGAUUA